GACGAACGCUGGCGGCGUGCUUAACACAUACAAGUCGAACGGAAAGGCCCUGCUUUUGUGGGGUGCUCGAGUGGCGAACGGGUGAGUAACACGUGAGUAACCUGCCCUUGACUUUGGGAUAACUUCAGGAAACUGGGGCUAAUACCGGAUAGGAGCUCCUGCUGCAUGGUGGGGGUUGGAAAGUUUCGGCGGUUGGGGAUGGACUCGCGGCUUAUCAGCUUGUUGGUGGGGUAGUGGCUUACCAAGGCUUUGACGGGUAGCCGGCCUGAGAGGGUGACCGGCCACAUUGGGACUGAGAUACGGCCCAGAAUCCUACGGGAGGCAGCAGUGGGGAAUAUUGCACAAUGGGCGGAAGCCUGAUGCAGCAACGCCGCGUGCGGGAUGACGGCCUUCGGGUUGUAAACCGCUUUCGCCUGUGACGAAGCGUGAGUGACGGUAAUGGGUAAAGAAGCACCGGCUAACUACGUG
RNAcentral lists this ribosomal RNA (468 nucleotides) under uncultured bacterium. Its description in RNAcentral is "partial 16S ribosomal RNA". It matches the Rfam family "Bacterial small subunit ribosomal RNA", at positions 28 to 507 of the family's 1533-position model. The record is from RNAcentral.